RNAcentral lists this long non-coding RNA (4240 nucleotides) under Bemisia tabaci. Its description in RNAcentral is "lncRNA ENSSSA3NGG011141". Lineage: Eukaryota; Metazoa; Arthropoda; Insecta; Hemiptera; Aleyrodidae. The record is from RNAcentral.
GAACGGAAGGAGUAUUCGGCAGAGAACGUGGCGGCUGCCAUUCAAGCAGUUGCAGAGGGAGCUAGUCUGAAGCAUGCUUCUGAAACGUGGGGAAUCCCAAGACUGUUCUGUGGAGAAAGGUUCAAAGAGAUGGCGGCAAAGCUUCUCUGAGGAGACGGAUGCGGAAAUAUACCCCUGCCGUGAUGGAUCUAGCUUGCAAUGCAUUAUUGAGUGGUCACAGUAUUACCAGAGUAGCCAAUCAGUUCAAGAUACCUACUUCAACUUUAUUCAGGGAAAAACAAAGACUAGUGAAAGAGGGCAAACUACCAGCUCGCUCCAUUAAUACCAAAAAAACGCAUAGUCUGAUACAAAAAAUAAGACUGGAUCAAGCUGUAGCCGCUUGUCAAGAUGGUAAAAUGUCUCAAGCUUUAGCAUCUCAAACAUUCCAGGUUCCAAAAACAACGAUUUGGAGGCGAUUGCAAAGAUCGGCUGGUAACAAUGGUAGUAGCAAACAAGAGAGGAGAAGGCGAAACCAAGUUGCGAUGCUCAAAGCAGAUUUUCUCGAUGGAAGCUCAGACGAUGUUGCCACAGCAAUCAGCUCGGACACAGGAGAGGAGUUCACCUUCAGUGAGGUAGUGCCCAUGACCUACCUGAAUGUAGGAGAGGGUGGUGAAGUGAAUGAACAUUCAUUGAUAAUCCUGACCCCUUCGAAUGAAACAUUAGAUCUACAGAAUGUCGUUGUGGAAGAAGAAAUCACUGAAAUUUCCGCAGAAGAUGCCCAAGCGGAGGAGGACGAGCAAAACCAAGAUCAAGAAGCAGCCGUCAUGGAUCACUCAAUUCUGGGAAUAGACUGCAGUUGAAGAACUCAGGCACAAAACGAAUCCCACGAGUGCCAACCCACCGCUACAGCUGAGUUAUGUAUUGAGAUUCAGGCUGCCACUCAAAAUUAAACUAAGCCACUCAUUAUUGUAGGAAACCUUCCUGAACAGAACUGAGUUAAGCAGAAAGGAACCAACCCACAUUUUGGAAAAAUGGAGUUAUGAGUGGUUUUGAACUCAACCACUGCUCUACUAUCUAUCGCCAAAAUUCAAAGUUUUUGCUGGAGCAAAUUUUGCAGAAAUUGAACUUGAAGUUUAUCUUUUACAUUGAGUCUUAUGCAGGAACCAAACUUUAAACCUAUUUUUCUCGGUUCGAUCCUGAUGUGGCUUGGUUCCUUUCUGUUUAACUCCGUCCAACGAUACUAUGCAGUAGCUUUGUUCGACCAGUUUCCAAAUUUUGUUUCGUAUCAACGAUAGUAGGUGUUUAACCCAGAAGGAACAGCAGUUAUCUUGGGUAGCUUCAAAAUUAUCUUUUUCGCCUCGGCCAUUGCAUGUCUGAUAGUGUCGCUAGUUCCACGUCUUUACGAAUGUAGUCUUAUUUGGAAAUUUUCACUCAAAAGUUACUUGCACAGUGUCAAGUGGCCUUAUCAAGCUUAUAUGUGUAUUUUUUUCUGGACUUAAUGUUUUCUCUGAAACAGGUUCGGUGACCUUCAGUGUGUUGUAUACUUAUUUUUAGCAGUGAAGCCUAGUUUUUGUUUUCUAGUCAAGAAAUGGAGCACAAGUAGGGUAAAACGAGAAGCAACCGGAAAUAAGUCGAUAAGCCAUCGUUUGAUGCAUACUGUGUGUGAUCAGAUAUUGAUCAGUGCUCACGUUGCUUCUUUCUGAGAUCUUAAAAUCUCAUUUUGACCUACUCCAAGCUAGCCUGCAGCAGUGCAAAAUUAUCAAAUAACUGUUAGAUAAAGCAAGAGAAUAGCUUUUUGAGAUCUAACUUUUAACAUCUCUUUACUCAAAACUUCUAUACAUUCUUAACAAAACGUUAUUAGAUAUGAUACAAAUUCCAAAAUCUCAUGAAACUGAUGAUUCAGUUUUUUUGCUUGCCUAAGCCAGCCAUUAAACGGAGUAUCUAUUAAUUUAAUUAUACAGUGGAGUCGGUAUAUAACGAAGUUCACGGUUCCCAGAAAAACUUCGUUAUAUCCGGAACUUCGUCAAAAGCGGACUCUAUUGAGUGUAUAGGGAGGUUCCAGGGGAAUGAAAAUUACUUUGUUAUAUCCGAAACUUCGUUAAAAGCGGGUUCAUUAUAUACGAGCUCCACUGUAUUUCUCACUGAUUUUUGUCUAAAUAGUCAGUGUUUCAAUUUUUGUACAUAUUUCAAUUGUUUAGUGAAGUUAUUUUACCAUCACAGUUAGCUCUCUUGCAAAUUAUCUCUAUACCCCAAAAAAAUUGAAUAAAAAAAUUGUAACAUGCCGCGCAAGGCUGAGUUGAUUCGUUCCUUAACAGUCCCAAUAAGAAUAUAGAUUUAUCACUGCAGUUGACCCACAGGCUCAACGGAGACAAAAACACAAGACAGACAUUUGCAGGCAAAGUGUCAUGAAGCACUCUCUGUGCACCCCUGAAGUAAAAUUUGAGAAAUCAAUGUUUGCUUAUAUGAUGUCAUAGACGCAUAUCUUAUCCUUUGGAUCAUUCCUAAUGAAAGGACAUCGCACCAAAAAAUUUGAAGCCGGCUAAAUUUAGGUGUUAUUCAAAACUAUGUUCCUCACAGCCUCCAGAGCACUAUGAGCUUUUAAAAUCAAGCUUUCUAGUUGCCAAUUUUGUGAAAAGCGGGGAUAAAAUGUGAAUUUUUUGGUAUUUUUCAUGUAACACUAUGCUCAGUAAUUUUCCUCUGUUUAUUCAUCUUGUCAAGCAUCUGUAUCAGAGAAAUAUCAUUCAGUCAAAACCAAGUACCUUUUUUUUGUGCGUUUCUGUGAUUUUACUUGUAUUACGUCUAGUGUAAGUGUCUCUCCCUCUCUCAUUAAGAAUUUAAAACAGCAUCAUAAAUUUGCUGUUACCCCAUUAUAGGAUGAAUAGGAUUAAUCAAUUAGCAAGCUAUGGAAAUCAUGGUAGAACCAAGACAUCAGAGAGAUAGGUUUCCUAUAGAGAGAAGUCUUUCAUCCUUGAAAGGUUUCGUUAACUUUUACCAUCAACCCUUUUUGUUUUUUGUUUCCUUUGUUUUUUUUUAUUUUAGUUUUUACAAAUGCUCAUCUAAGAUUAUAUGUGUGAAUUGAAUAGGUUUUUUUGAAGUUGUCCAUAAAUGACUUCUUCCGAAGAACAGCAUUUUAACCUUAACCUUUUGUCAUGUACCUGUCGUGCGGAUUUGAACUCGCCUGAAUAAUGGAACAGUGGCAAGGGAUUUAUGCAGGGUUGUAGUAUAGUUUUUCCUAAGUAGAAUUUUGUGAAAAAACGAAGGAGUUCAUUGAAAAUUUAAUCUCUGUGAAGGAAAAAGCUAAUUGAAAACCAACCAAUCUAAAGGGGACUGUCGAAAUGAUGUAGCAAGACAAUGCCUGAAGCUAAGUUUAGCUGGUCAGCAAAUGCCGUUUCCCCCGACUGGUUAUAUCAUCAGAGCCCGCCAUAAUUUUCAUCAAGGUUUGGCAAAAUUUAAACCAAGGCAUCAGUAAAAGAACAUGAGUUCAGGAUUUUACAAGCCUUAUUGUAAAAUGCUCUCAUGUGUUAGUUUGACAAAGGUUCACCAAACUUAUUUUUUCUUUUGAUUCUACUCGUAAGUUUCUCACUAAGCUUCAUUUUAUUUUUGACUGUUGUACAAAUGAAGAAUAUUUGUUUUUGUCAGGUGUUUAUUCUUAUUACCUGUACAGUUACUAAGUAUUAACUCUUCACAAAAAAUUUACCAUGUUUUGUAAUUUUUUUACUCGCGACUAUGAUUAAUGUUGUUGUAAAUAAAAUCUUUAUUUAUUGAUUUAAAUUUUGUGAAUAAAUAUGUUGCCUUGACAUUCAAUUGCUAUUUUCUUAACCAAACCAUGAUAUACGACACUUAUCAUCGAAAAAUCCUUUAACCAUCAACUCUUGGAUUACUACCAGGGGGCUUCUCUUAAAAUAUGUACCAAAGCUAAAUUUCGGAUUUUUCCUCCUAGAUUAGGCAAUGCGAAAUGCAGUUAUGGUGAUUCGGUGGUUCCGGGAUGAUCCAUUCAUUUUAAAGUGAAAAUUCCUCAUCAAAUUUCUCUUCAAUAAGAUUAUAGAUUGGGGCACCACACUGGAAAAAAAAACACAAUGGAUCUAGAGUCCAGACUCUUAAAAACAUCGACAAGAAAAAGUACUCUUGAUUCAAUCAGAAUCUAGCUUAAAUCAAGAACCAAGCCUCUUGAUUUAAGCGGAUUUCGUUUUGAUUCAAGUAAAAAUCCGAUUGAAUAAAGAGUAUUUUUUCUUGUCAAUGUUUUCAAGAGUCUGGACUCUAG